CACGCUCAAAACCUGCUCCGCGGUGUACUCGUUCGAAAAAUAAUGCGUGUCGAUCAAUGCGAUAGUUUCCGAAAUUACCGGUUACCGAAAAAAUACCAUUUCACACGCGCACCGAUGUACAGUGAGUCCUCGUUUAACGGCACCUCAUUCAGCGUAGUCUCGCCGUUGCGCCGUACAAUUUACGUCCUUUAUGCAUAUUAAAGUCGUAUAGGCAAUUUGUAAAUAAAUUUCCCGCGACGUAAGAAAACUAUACCGACGAAGUGAUUUCUUCUCGUGAGGAAGGACCGAGUAAUUGGAGAUUUAUUAGAAUCGAAUCGAAAUCGACAUUACGACAAAGUUCAGAAGGAAGAAAGUGAAAAGCCAAUUGAAAAAGCACUCACGGUAAAAGGGUCAUCUAAAGCUUUUCGAUUAAUCGAACAAGGCAUUCAAAUUAUAAAUGAUAAAGAUUUAAACCAUGGAAGAAUUUCGCACGGGUUGAGCGAAAUGAUUUGAACAGCUUAACG
Non-coding RNA from Cinara cedri, 503 nucleotides. The record is from the annotation of a GenBank genome assembly. Lineage: Eukaryota; Metazoa; Arthropoda; Insecta; Hemiptera; Aphididae.